RNAcentral lists this ribosomal RNA (190 nucleotides) under uncultured bacterium. RNAcentral describes it as "partial 16S ribosomal RNA". It matches the Rfam family "Bacterial small subunit ribosomal RNA", at positions 338 to 524 of the family's 1533-position model. The record is from RNAcentral.
CCUACGGGAGGCAGCAGUGAGGAAUAUUGGUCAAUGGGCGCGAGCCUGAACCAGCCAAGUAGCGUGCAGGAUGACGGCCCUAUGGGUUGUAAACUGCUUUUAUACAGGGAUAAAGUCGAGGACGCGUUCCCCGUUUGCAGGUACUGUAUGAAUAAGGACCGGCUAAUUCCGUGCCAGCAGCCGCGGUAAU